ACUUCUCCCUGCUGCCACCUUGUGAAGAAAGUGCCUUGCUUCCCCUUUGCCUACCACCAUGAUAACCAAUUUUCUUUGCGUAUGCCCUUGGAGUUAUUAGCUCAAAGAAUAGAUUUCUCUUGGCCCACCUGGAAGCCUUCUCUUUUCCUAACUGAUGACUUUGGAUUAUACAACUUUACCUACUGUUAAAAGUACACAGAUGAAAAGAGUAAAGGGUAUUUGACUGACGAGUGAACAUGAGCUCAAAGCCAGAGUCCAAAGUGCCUCAUCUGUUGGAUGACAGUGCUUGGAAGCCCUGCCAAUGAAAUGGCCACUGCAGAGUGUUUGUCUCCUAAUGCAUGUAGAUGAUCAGCGGGCCACAUAGAAUACGCAAUGGAAAAUGCUGAGCUGUGUCACAGGACUGAACAUACCAGCUGCCAUUCAUAAAACAUGCCACUUAGGAGCAAACAACUUUUCAGAAGAAACAAUAUGACACAAGGGGAGAGUAAAUGGGAUACCGUCUUUCUUCGGAUGAAAACUAUUUCUCUUAUUAAACUCUUUCCACUAAGGCAAGCCUUAUAUGG
Homo sapiens (human) is the source of this 563-nucleotide long non-coding RNA. The record is from Ensembl. Lineage: Eukaryota; Metazoa; Chordata; Mammalia; Primates; Hominidae.